UGCCUUGCGUUCUAGUGGAC
RNAcentral lists this non-coding RNA (20 nucleotides) under Rattus norvegicus (Norway rat). The record is from RNAcentral. Lineage: Eukaryota; Metazoa; Chordata; Mammalia; Rodentia; Muridae.